Molecule: long non-coding RNA, 278 nt
Filed under: Physcomitrium patens
Lineage: Eukaryota; Viridiplantae; Streptophyta; Bryopsida; Funariales; Funariaceae
Description: long non-coding RNA (PPAT_LNC009135)
Source: RNAcentral
AUACCUUAUCACCAAUAUUAAAGUGUGGUUAUUCCUUUUGAUAGGCAUCUACACUGAUACUUUGUUAUUCUUGAGUUUUCUUUAAUUGCACCUUUAUUAUUGCAUGUAGCUCAAGCAAAGAAUUUGCCAAAUAUUUUGCCGUAUGAUUAUCAAUUUUUGAAAAGUCAUAAGUAUCAAGUUAUAGAUAAUAACCAUAAUUAGCAAAAAAAGGUGUUUGUUACAUAAAAUAAUGUAUUGUAUUAUUAUAAACAAAUUUUCUCAAUGGUAAGAAGGUUCUC